UGCGGGGGGGGCAAGCGUUGUUCGGAAUUACUGGGCGUAAGGGGCUUGUAGGCGGCCAACUAAGUCAUACGUGAAAUCCCUCGGCUUAACCGGGGAACUGCGUCUGAUACUGGAUGGCUUGAGAUUGGGAGAGGGAUGCGGAAUUCCAGGUGUAGCGGUGAAAUGCGCAGAGAUCGGGAGGAACACCCGUAGCGAAGGCGGCACUCUGGGCCGGUACUGACGCUGAGGAGCGAAAGCGUGGGGAGCAAACAGG
RNAcentral lists this ribosomal RNA (253 nucleotides) under uncultured bacterium. RNAcentral describes it as "partial 16S ribosomal RNA". It matches the Rfam family "Bacterial small subunit ribosomal RNA", at positions 524 to 776 of the family's 1533-position model. The record is from RNAcentral.